Molecule: ribosomal RNA, 910 nt
Filed under: Cutibacterium acnes
Lineage: Bacteria; Bacillati; Actinomycetota; Actinomycetes; Propionibacteriales; Propionibacteriaceae
Description: bacterial SSU rRNA
Rfam family: Bacterial small subunit ribosomal RNA
Source: RNAcentral
CAGGACGAACGCUGGCGGCGUGCUUAACACAUGCAAGUCGAACGGAAAGGCCCUGCUUUUGUGGGGUGCUCGAGUGGCGAACGGGUGAGUAACACGUGAGUAACCUGCCCUUGACUUUGGGAUAACUUCAGGAAACUGGGGCUAAUACCGGAUAGGAGCUCCUGCUGCAUGGUGGGGGUUGGAAAGUUUCGGCGGUUGGGGAUGGACUCGCGGCUUAUCAGCUUGUUGGUGGGGUAGUGGCUUACCAAGGCUUUGACGGGUAGCCGGCCUGAGAGGGUGACCGGCCACAUUGGGACUGAGAUACGGCCCAGACUCCUACGGGAGGCAGCAGUGGGGAAUAUUGCACAAUGGGCGGAAGCCUGAUGCAGCAACGCCGCGUGCGGGAUGACGGCCUUCGGGUUGUAAACCGCUUUCGCCUGUGACGAAGCGUGAGUGACGGUAAUGGGUAAAGAAGCACCGGCUAACUACGUGCCAGCAGCCGCGGUGAUACGUAGGGUGCGAGCGUUGUCCGGAUUUAUUGGGCGUAAAGGGCUCGUAGGUGGUUGAUCGCGUCGGAAGUGUAAUCUUGGGGCUUAACCCUGAGCGUGCUUUCGAUACGGGUUGACUUGAGGAAGGUAGGGGAGAAUGGAAUUCCUGGUGGAGCGGUGGAAUGCGCAGAUAUCAGGAGGAACACCAGUGGCGAAGGCGGUUCUCUGGGCCUUUCCUGACGCUGAGGAGCGAAAGCGUGGGGAGCGAACAGGCUUAGAUACCCUGGUAGUCCACGCUGUAAACGGUGGGUACUAGGUGUGGGGUCCAUUCCACGGGUUCCGUGCCGUAGCUAACGCUUUAAGUACCCCGCCUGGGGAGUACGGCCGCAAGGCUAAAACUCAAAGGAAUUGACGGGGCCCCGCACAAGCGGCGGAGCAUGCGG